This 1471-nucleotide ribosomal RNA is filed under the name uncultured Bordetella sp. Its description in RNAcentral is "partial 16S-23S ribosomal RNA intergenic spacer". It matches the Rfam family "Bacterial small subunit ribosomal RNA". Lineage: Bacteria; Pseudomonadati; Pseudomonadota; Betaproteobacteria; Burkholderiales; Alcaligenaceae. The record is from RNAcentral.
GUUCGAUUCUGGCUCAGAUUGAACGCUGGCGGGAUGCUUUACACAUGCAAGUCGAACGGCAGCACGGACUUCGGUCUGGUGGCGAGUGGCGAACGGGUGAGUAAUGUAUCGGAACGUGCUAGUAGCGGGGGAUAACUACGCGGCGUAGCUAAUACCGCAUACGCCCUUCGGGGAAAAGCGGGGGACCUUCGGGCCUCGCACUAUUAGAGCGGCCGAUAUCGGAUUAGCUAGUUGGUGGGGUAACGGCUCACCAAGGCGACGAUCCGUAGCUGGUUUGAGAGGACGACCAGCCACACUGGGACUGAGACACGGUCCAAGACUCCUGCAAGGGAGGCAGCAGUGGGAAUUUUGGACAAUGGGAAACCCUGAUCAGCCAUCCCGCGUGUGCGAUGAAGGCCUUCGGGUUGUAAAGCACUUUUGGCAGGAAAGAAACGGCACGGGAUAAUACCCCGUGCAACUGACAGCCUGCAGAAUAAGCACCGGCUAACUACGUGCCAGCAGCCGCGGUAAUACGUAGGGUGCAAGCGUUAAUCGGAAUUACUGGGCGUAAAGCGUGCGCAGGCGGUUCGGAAAGAAGAUGUGAAAUCCCAGAGCUUAACUUUGGAACUGCAUUUUUAACUACCGAGCUAGAGUGUGUCAGAGGGAGGUGGAAUUCCGUGUAGCAGUGAAAUGCGUGAAUAUGCGGAGGAACACCGAUGGCGAAGGCAGCCUCCUGGGAUAACACUGACGCUCAUGCACGAAAAGCGUGGGGAGCAAACAGGAUUAGAUACCCUGGUAGUCCACGCCUAAACGAUGUCAACUAGCUGUUGGGGCCUUCGGGCCUUGGUAGGCCGCAGCUAACGCGUGAAGUUGACCGCCUGGGAAAUACGGUCGCAAGAUUAAAACUCAAAGGAAUUGACGGGGACCCGCACAAGCGGUGGAUGAUGUGGAUUAAUUCGAUGCAACGCGAAAAACCUUACCUACCCUUGACAUGUCUGGAAUCCCGAAGAGAUUUGGGAGUGCUCCUGCAAGAGAACCGGAACACAGGUGCUGCAUGGCUGUCGUCAGCUCGUGUCGUGAGAUGUUGGGUUAAGUCCGCAACGGCUGUCUUGUCAUUAGUUGCUACGAGGCACUCUAAUGAGACUGCCGGUGACAAACCGGAGGGGAAGGUGGGGAUGACGUCAAGUCCUCAUGGCCCUUAUGGGUAGAGCUCACACGUCAUACAAUGGUCGGGACAGAGGGUCGCCAACCCGCGAGGGGAGCCAAUCCCAGAAACCCGAUCGUAGUCCGGAUCAUGAUCUGCAACUCGACUGCGUGAAGUCGGAAUCGCUAGUAAUCGCGGAUCAACAUGUCGCGGUGAAUACGUUCCCGGGUCUUGUACACACCGCCCGUCACACCAUGGGAAUUGGGUUUACCAGAAGUAGUUAGCCUAACCGUAAGGAGGGCGAUUACCGGUAGGAUUCAUGACUGGGGUGAAGUCGUAACAGAGUAG